Molecule: ribosomal RNA, 567 nt
Filed under: Salmonella enterica subsp. enterica serovar Newport
Lineage: Bacteria; Pseudomonadati; Pseudomonadota; Gammaproteobacteria; Enterobacterales; Enterobacteriaceae
Description: partial 23S ribosomal RNA
Rfam family: Bacterial large subunit ribosomal RNA
Source: RNAcentral
CGUGCUAAUCUGCGAUAAGCGCCGGUAAGGUGAUAUGAACCGUUAUAACCGGCGAUUUCCGAAUGGGGAAACCCAGUGUGAUUCGUCACACUAUCAUUAACUGAAUCCAUAGGUUAAUGAGGCGAACCGGGGGAACUGAAACAUCUAAGUACCCCGAGGAAAAGAAAUCAACCGAGAUUCCCCCAGUAGCGGCGAGCGAACGGGGAGGAGCCCAGAGCCUGAAUCAGCAUGUGUGUUAGUGGAAGCGUCUGGAAAGGCGCGCGAUACAGGGUGACAGCCCCGUACACAAAAGCGCAUGUGCUGUGAGCUCGAUGAGUAGGGCGGGACACGUGGUAUCCUGUCUGAAUAUGGGGGGACCAUCCUCCAAGGCUAAAUACUCCUGACUGACCGAUAGUGAACCAGUACCGUGAGGGAAAGGCGAAAAGAACCCCGGCGAGGGGAGUGAAAAAGAACCUGAAACCGUGUACGUACAAGCAGUGGGAGCACAGGUUUACCUGUGUGACUGCGUACCUUUUGUAUAAUGGGUCAGCGACUUAUAUUCUGUAGCAAGGUUAACCGUAUAGGGGA